GGGUCAGUAGGUUGGUCGUGCCACCGGUACGUACUGGUCUCACUGAUUCCUCCUUCCUGAAGAACCGUAAUGCCAUUAAUUUGGUGUUGCGGGGAAACAGGACUGUUACUUUGAAAAAAUUAGAGUGUUUAAAGCAAGCUAACGCUUGAAUACAUUAGCAUGGAAUAAUGUAAUAGGACGAUCGGUCCUAUUCUGUUGGUUUCUAGGAUUGACGCA
Molecule: ribosomal RNA, 216 nt
Filed under: Glomeromycotina sp.
Lineage: Eukaryota; Fungi; Glomeromycota
Description: partial small subunit ribosomal RNA
Rfam family: Eukaryotic small subunit ribosomal RNA (bases 44-216)
Source: RNAcentral